CAGGGGGAGAGACAAGAGGAGAGACAAAAGAGAGAGAAGAGAUGAGAGAGAGAGAGAGAGAGAGAGAGAGAGAGAGAGGAGAGACUAGAGAGAGAGGAGAGACAAGAGGAGAGACAAAAGAGAGAGAAGAGAUGAGAGAAGAGAGAGAGAGAGGAGGAGAGACUAGCGAGAGAGAGGGAAGAAGAGAGACAAGAGAGUGGGAGAGGAGGAGAGAAGAGAGAGAGAGGGAAGAAGAGAGACAAGAGAGUGGGAGAGGAGGAGAGAAGAUAGAGAGAGGGAAGAUGAGAGACAAGGUAGAGAGUGCUUACAACAGAGAGCAGGCAGAAGUCGAUCCUGGUUUGACAGGUCUAGUGAUGGCUGGGUAGAGCUAGCUUAGUGAGGGCUGGGUACAGCUAGCUUAGUGAUGGCUGUGUAGAGCUAGCUUAGUGAGGGCUGGGUACAGCUAGCUUAUGAGGGCUGGAUAGAGCUAGCUUAGUGAGGGCUGGGUACAGCUAGCUUAGUGAGGGCUGGGUAGAGCUAGCUUAGUGAGGGCUGGGUACAGCUAGCUUAGUGAGGGCUGGGUAGAGCUAGCUUAGUGAGGGCUGGGUACAGCUAGCUUAGUGAGGGCUGGGUAGAGCUAGCUUAGUGAGGGCUGGGUGUCGCUGGCUAGACUCAUACGGCUACUGUGUAGGUUUGGUUUUAGAGGGUGUUGCGCUAGGAAGCGCUGCAGAGGGUAUGGGUACGCUAGGUCAGAAAUGGGCUUAUGGGAUUUGUAGUUUAUACACUUUGGGAGUUGUAGUUUAUAAACUUGUGUUUACAGGUGAACAGAAAACCUGCCGGUGAGGGAUUCUGGGUAUUUUAUUAGUGACUGCACAUAGAAAAUAUAGCAACCUUGCUUUUUAUUUAUUCUCUUAAAACUAAUUUUAGAAUGUUAAUGAUCAUUUUAUCUGGCAACGUAAAAACAACCCUUAUUUCCGUUUAUUUUUUAAUUUUUUUUACCCUCCCUCCAUCUUUAGAAAGAAGCAUUAUAAUGUUUUAAUAUUCACUCACCUGGGACUAGUCAGUUAUUGAACAUGUGUUAUUUUCAGGGUGUGUCUGGCACCACUUUGUUUACUAAAAUAAAAAGGGUCCGUUGCUCUCGCCGACUAUCAGCUGGGUUUAACCCUGCAAUCUGAAAACUGACCUGAGUUUUAGUAACAGUUUUGGAUUCUGCUACUUCUCCCCUCAAAACAAAAAAACAGAGGAGGGGGGGGUCGCCAGAGAGCGAGAGACCAAACCCGAACGGCGGCCCGAACGCUCUCUCUUGCUCGCCACUGGACAGAGCUGGCGUGUUUUUUUGGUUUGUCUUUUCUCCCUUGGAAACAGGGUACUUCCGAAUCUCCAUGACAACACGUUGUACGCUAUGAGAGUACAACGACAACUUUUUUCGGGGGGGGUAAUUCGAACUUUUGUGUCAGGUGGUCAGUCCUCUUAGUCUGUCCGUCUGUCUCCCCACCCCACCCCCGGGGACUG
This 1491-nucleotide long non-coding RNA is filed under the name Salmo salar (Atlantic salmon). RNAcentral's name for it is "lncRNA (ENSSSAG00000120530.1)". Lineage: Eukaryota; Metazoa; Chordata; Actinopteri; Salmoniformes; Salmonidae. The record is from RNAcentral.